AGCGGAGGAAAAGAAACCAACAGGGAUUGCCCUAGUAACGGCGAGUGAAGCGGCAACAGCUCAAAUUUGAAAGCUGGCUCCGGCCCGCAUUGUAAUUUGCAGAGGAUGCUUUUGGCGAGGUGCCUUCCGAGUUCCCUGGAACGGGACGCCAUAGAGGGUGAGAGCCCCGUAUGGAUGGACACCAGACCUGUGUAAAGCUCCUUCAACGAGUCGAGUAGUUUGGGAAUGCUGCUCUAAAUGGGAGGUAAAUCUCUUCUAAAGCUAAAUACCGGCCAGAGACCGAUAGCGCACAAGUAGAGUGAUCGAAAGAUGAAAAGCACCUUGAAAAGGGGGUUAAACAGUACGUGAAAUUGUUGAAAGGGAAGCAUUUAUGACCAGACUUGCGCCGGGCAGCUCAUCAGGGGUUCUCCCCUGUGCACUCUGCCCGGCUCAGGCCAGCAUCGGUUCUCGUGGGAGGAUAAGAACAGUGGGAACGUGGCCCCCCUCCGGGGGGGUGUUAUAGCCCAUUGUACGAUACUCUCGUGGGGACCGAGGUUCGCGCUCCGCAAGGAUGCUGGCGUAAUGGUCAUCAAUGACCCGUCUUG
Molecule: ribosomal RNA, 584 nt
Filed under: Cytospora leucosperma
Lineage: Eukaryota; Fungi; Ascomycota; Sordariomycetes; Diaporthales; Cytosporaceae
Description: partial large subunit ribosomal RNA
Rfam family: Eukaryotic large subunit ribosomal RNA
Source: RNAcentral